RNAcentral lists this ribosomal RNA (491 nucleotides) under uncultured bacterium. RNAcentral's name for it is "partial 16S ribosomal RNA". It matches the Rfam family "Bacterial small subunit ribosomal RNA", at positions 29 to 506 of the family's 1533-position model. The record is from RNAcentral.
AGUGAACGCUGGCGGUAGGCCUAACACAUGCAAGUCGAACGGCAGCACAGUAAGAGCUUGCUCUUACGGGUGGCGAGUGGCGGACGGGUGAGGAAUACAUCGGAAUCUACUUUUUCGUGGGGGAUAACGUAGGGAAACUUACGCUAAUACCGCAUACGACCUACGGGUGAAAGCAGGGGAUCUUCGGACCUUGCGCGAUUGAAUGAGCCGAUGUCGGAUUAGCUAGUUGGCGGGGUAAAGGCCCACCAAGGCGACGAUCCGUAGCUGGUCUGAGAGGAUGAUCAGCCCAAUUGGAACUGAGAACCGGGCCCGACUCCUACGGGAGGCAGCAGGGGGGAAUUUGGGAAAAGGGGCGAAAGCCUGAUCCAGCCAUACCGGGGGGGUGAAGAAGGCCUUUGGGUUGUAAAGCCCUUUUGUUGGGAAAGAAAAGAAGCAGGUUAAAACCCCGCUGUUCGGGAGGUACCCAAAGAAUAAGCACCGGCUAACUGCGU